GACGAACGCUGGCGGCGUGCUUAACACAUGCAAGUCGAACGGAAAGGCCCUGCUUUUGUGGGGUGCUCGAGUGGCGAACGGGUGAGUAACACGUGAGUAACCUGCCCUUGACUUUGGGAUAACUUCAGGAAACUGGGGCUAAUACCGGAUAGGAGCUCCUGCUGCAUGGUGGGGGUUGGAAAGUUUCGGCGGUUGGGGAUGGACUCGCGGCUUUUCAGCUUGUUGGUGGGGUAGUGGCUUACCAAGGCUUUGACGGGUAGCCGGCCUGAGAGGGUGACCGGCCACAUUGGGACUGGGAUACGGCCCAGACUCCUACGGGAGGAAGGAGUGGGGAAUAUUGCACAAUGGGCGGAAGCCUGAUGAAGCAACGCCGAGUGCGGGAUGACGGCCUUCGGGUGGUAAACCGCUUUCGCCUGUGACGAAGCGUGAGUGACGGUAAUGGGUAAAGAAGCACCGGCUAACUACGU
Molecule: ribosomal RNA, 467 nt
Filed under: uncultured bacterium
Lineage: Bacteria
Description: partial 16S ribosomal RNA
Rfam family: Bacterial small subunit ribosomal RNA
Source: RNAcentral